AGUGUUUAAUUGUGGCUUUUCUUAAAGUUUUAGAUAUUUGGUCUAUGAUAACCAUGGCAGGGACCAGGGCAGCAUUCCUGGAGCGGGACCAUUAACCAAGAGCUCCAUACUCAUCCCUAGGUUCUGAACUUAAAGGUGAAACUCUUCCUGACAACACAGUGUGCACAGCACUUAAAGUCAUCAGAAUAGAAAUAACCCAGAAGCUUCUUCCCUAAGGACUGGAUCACAUAGUAUCCUAAGAUGCUGUUAAAGUUCCAGUGAGAAAAUUAUGGAGUAUUCAAGUGAGAAAAACAUCAAUAGUCCUAUCCAGCUAUAAAACCAAUGAGACAUCACAAUGAUUACAAUGGCAAAAUGCCCUAAAGCUCAUGUUGAUGCAGUCAUCUUAUGCUCAGAACAGCUGGAAGAAUAGCCUUGAGGCUUAGGAAAAAGACUGAACACUCAUGGACUUCUUUGACAGCUGGCUACAUCUGGGAGAUGGAGUGACUAAAGAAACUUUCCUUUGGUGGGGACACUGCAAGAGUGAAUGGCAGGUACUGGAGGAGUACUCAGCGAUGAGUGGGUUUGGGAUGCAAGUUGAGAAAUUUGAAAAUAAUCAAUAAAAAAAGGAAAUUAAAAAUUUUCCUCAGACAUUGCAUGAUGAGCAAAGAAAAAGAAUGGAUCCCGGGGUCCAGAGAAGAGGAGCCUGAAUCCAAUCAGACAGUGUACACACAAUUUUGACAACGUAUCAGACCAACCUGCAGGAGAGUCUGGAACUGAGAUUAUAAACAUUGAGACAUUCACACCUGAACUGAGAAAGCCUAGCUAUGCAUGCUAUUUAUGUAUUUAUAACUAAACUUAAUACUAGGUCCCUAAAGACAGAUUGAUGGGGAGGUCUUGGCCCUCUGCCUAAUGUAGCAAGAUUGAAUAAUUAAUAUUUUGUGUUUUUCAGUUUUAUGUGUGUGCUUUAGUGUCAUUCUGCAGAUAUAUGACUGUGUUAGUCUGAAAAGGCUCGGUUUGCUGCAUGAAAUAUAAUUUGUUAACAAUUUAUAGAUGAUUAAGCAUUCUACCCAUACAUAUGCAGAUUUUUCCUUGAUAUCAUAACCUAAUACCAACUCAUCUAUACGGACACUUCAAAUCUCUACACUCUAUGGGUUUGGGAAAAUUUGGGGAGCAUCUGUUUCUUGAGUUAAUUGACUUUAUUUUCAUAAUAUGUUUUUCCCUUGUAAUUGGUUUUAUUUGGUUUUUAAAAUCAGGAGAUUGAUAACAUUUCUCUUGUGAAAGAGAACUGGUAGACCCUUCCUCAAAGUGCAGCACAAGAAUGGGUAUGAGGUGUGGCUUUUGCAAGCUGUUUUUGUUUUGUUUUUUUGACAUCACUUUUUAUUGUCCUCUAAAUAUGAGAUAAAAUCCAGAACACUGAAUGCCCCCAUAAGGUGUAAUAUUCAUGGUACAAUAGUAUUCAAGUCUGCCAAUAAGGGUAUAUUCAUGCUUCUUGGUUAUAAGAAUGGAAUGUGCCUUUGAGUACAGACAAGCCACUUUAACUUCAUGAAAGAAAACAAAAGAAAAAGUUAAAUAGAUGCUUAAAGUGCCUCCAUUAAAUUGGCCUUUGAAACAUCUUCUUGGGUAUUUUCCUGAUUGAUGGCUCAUGUGGGAAGGCCAAGCUUACUUGGGCAGUGAUAUUCCUGUGCUGAUGGUCCUGGGUGCUAUAAGAAGGCAAUUUGAGCAAGCCAUGAGGACUAAGUUAGUAAGGCUCAGUUGCUACUUCCAAGUUCAUUUCCAGUUUCCCUGAAUGAUUGACAGCAGCAAAACUUUCUCUUCAUGAUUGCUCCAUAGGAAAGAUUUAAUUAUUAGGAUUUUUUUUAAUUUCAAGACAGGGUUUCUCUGUUCAAUUUGAUUAUACUGGAAGUCACUCUGUAGAGCAGGCUGGCAUAGAACUCAAAGUGAUCUGCCUGCUUUUGCCUCUCAAGUGCUUGGAUUAAAGAUUCACCCUAUCAAUGAUAGGCUAUGAUUUACUUUAAGAUGUCUGUCAUAAUAAUUUUUCCCAGGAGAACAUGUAAUUCAUCUUAGCUUCACAUGUUCCUUUAAGUGUUUGGAAGUUUCAUUUGAAUUUUGAAACUUGCACCAGAAAUUAUGUGAUUAAAUUAUUCUUCAACCUUUGCCCCUUUGCAUGUGGCCUGGGCUGAUGACAGUACUCAUACUCUCUCUCUCUCUCUCUCUCUCUCUCUCUCUCUCUCUCUCUCUCUCUCACACACACACACACACACACACACACACACAGACAGACAACAUAUUUUGAAUUAUCCGUUGUGUUAAGUAAUCACAUAUUCACAGGCCAUCUAUAUCUUUUCUUUCUUCAGCUGUGUGAGUCUGGCACUAGUGUUCCUCCCUUAAAACAAAACCAAGCCAUGUUUCUGAAUUUACUUUUUUGGGGUUGAUAGUGUUUCUUUGUUGUGUGUGCAGCAUUAACUCCCUUGGGGAAAUAUAUGAAUUUGGGCAAAUAAACAAGAUUUUGAUGACUGAAACAGACUUUGGGGUCAAGAUUGGAAUGAGCAGUAAAUCUUGACUUUUAAGUGAAGACUCUGUCCUUUUGUCUCACCACCACUUCUAAUUAUGACUGGAUUCAAUCAGAUUUGGCCAAUUCUCUUGAACUGUAGAAAAAUAGAGCAUUCAGUUGUGCUGAAGUCAGGAACACAACUCAGGCUGAGGCUACUCUACUCUGAAUAUACCAAGGAGACAAUAACAGCAUUGGCAAAAUAUAAAUAUACAGUGAACCUGCCUGGGAUAAAUCUACCCCAAAUGAUGUGACAGACUUUAAUGAUUCCCCAUGGGAGUUCUUACCCUCUCUGAGGAGUGGAUGGAGGGUGGGAUGGGGAAAUGGUGGGGGAAUUGGGAUGAUAGAAGGGAAAGAGAACUGGGAUUAGUAUGUAUGUAAAAUAGUUUGGUUUUUAAUUAAAAUUUGAAAUUUUCAAUCGGAUGAAGACCAUACCAUAAGAUGUUUUUCUAAACUAUCUCUUCCUUGUUUUUUGUCUAAGUUUCUAUCAUUAUGCAAAGUUGUCUCCAAGAAAGCCUUUCAUAGGUCCCUUCAUCCCAUGGUGGACCAUCCUUAAUUUACAUUCAGAAAUCUGGCUUCAGGUACCCUGAGGUGUCAGGCUUACUUUGUUACUUAAGGCAACUUGCAGACUUGCCAAAGGAACAUUGUAACAUUUGCUGUAAUCACAGUCUGAUUUCCAGGAAAUUUAACAGAUGAUCUCCCACUUUUUAGCUCUUAAUGGGAAGCCUGAAUUUUGACAGAAUAAAAAUGUAUUUCAUUAUCCUAUGAAUCACUUUGUUGUAAAUAAAACAUGCUAGAAGGUAUCAAGUUUCUCCUUACAAUGUAAUUGAUUGCAGUUCUUUACUCUUUAACACAUCAAUGAAAUCCUAUAAUUUCUUUAAACAAUUGUUAGGACAGUGAUACAGAGAAUCAAUAUUGUAGCACUAACUGGUGUGAAAUAAGACCAUCAGGGUUGCAUACUAAGGAGUGAUACAAAUUAAUCAACAUAAAAAUGUCAAAACCUAUUGCAAGAAAACUAGUGACUAAGAGAGGAAAUUUGAUUUUUUUUAUUUUUUUCCUCACCUGACAAUUUUGAAAGUUUAAAUCAUAUAUAGGAGUUUACCCUGAAGUAUGUUAUGUGUGGCUUCAUUUUAUAUAAAGCCUCAUUCAUAUAAAUGUGAAGUAUAAUAAAUUAACUGGAAAGAAUGAAACCACAAUAUAAGUGUUCAUCAUUGUGGUUUCAGUUGUUUUUAAUGAACCACUUGUAUCUGAUAGGUCCAGAAUCAGAAUAUGCCUUCUGUAUUCUACACAUAUGGCUGUUCACUGCAGAUCAGGACUCCAGUGGAUGCUUUUCUCUUCAUAGUAGCUAACAUAGGGUGUGGAGGGGGUUUCUGUUCUCCCUGGUCCUGAAGCAGUUUACCCCAAAUAAACACACUGGGACUUAUAAUAAUCAUAAACUUUUUGGCUGAUGGCUCAGGCUUCUUAUGCAAUAGCUCUUUCUUAAUUAUUAAGAUAUUUCUAUUAAUCUAAGACUUUCCACUUGGUCAUCUCUUAAAGAGAAUGUCAGGACUUAAUUUCCCACUUGCUCCAUGGCAUCUCCCUCUCAGCUUCUUUGUGUUUCCUCUCCCCAAAAUACUCCUUGUCUGGUAGUCCCACCUAUAAUCAUUGCCUGGCUACUGGCCAAUCAGUGUUUUAUUCAUCAACCUAUAAGAGAAACAUAUAUACAGAAGGAAUCCCCCAUCAAUAGUAAUCAGCUAAGAUGUCCAUCAAGAGAUGAUUGAAUAAAUAACAUAUAGUACAAUGACACAGCAGAUUAUCAUUUAACUGUGGAGAAAAAAAGCUCUCAGCAUUUGCAGGAAAAUAGAACUAUCUAGAGAUUAUCAUGUUAAGUGAAGUAAGCUAGAUUUUGGCACAGAAUUAUAUUUCUUUCAAAAUACAGAGUGCAAGUUGAAGUAUAUAUGCAUGUUUGUCUGUGACUCUAUCUUUUUACCUGCCUCUCUGUCUGUCUUUGUUGCUGUGUCUCUGUCUUUCUUUCUGUAUAGAACUAGGACAUGGAAGUUGAAGUUAGUAUUAUGAACAGGGAGGAAAGAGUCUGUAAGAAGGAAGAAGAACAAGGGAGAAUGUGACAUGAAGCAGGACUCUCUGGAGGGAGAAAGGAGACUUGCCUAGUGUUGGAGAAUAAAGGCAGCAUGAGGCCUCCCCCUUGUAUACCAACUAAAAAAAUAAGGGGAAUUAAAAUUGGAAAAAUUAGGGCUAUACAUUUAGAGUCUACAUAUAUAAAAGUAUUUUCAUAAAAGCAAGGGUGUUUUGUCAUGGAAGUCAUACUAGAGUUGCGACAUGUAUUAGAAGUGCUUUUGGGAGAGAAUAUGAACCUUGAAAUAAUGAGAAAAACCUUCUAUUUACAUUGUAUUUUGCCUCCAUUUUUCAAAAUUGACAAUAGUUCUCUCUAUGUGGUUUUAGAUCACUGUAUUGUAUUUUGAUAUAUUGAUGGUGAUAAUUCUUGCUUUAUAAUAGGGCUAUAUCCCAACAAAUACAAGAUAAAUUGAAGAUACCAUAAGGCACAACUCGAUGUAAAAUGCUUGUUUACUGUAUUAUCCUUGCCUGUCAUAAUAAUGCUCUGAAUGCUUAUAGUAGCAUGUAGAUGGGUGAAACCUAGGAGCCAGCUAGGUAUAAUAAAUGCUUUAAUAUGUCCUUCAUA
Non-coding RNA from Cricetulus griseus (Chinese hamster), 5204 nucleotides. NCBI's taxonomy places the organism in Eukaryota, Metazoa, Chordata, Mammalia, Rodentia, Cricetidae. The record is from RefSeq and is a predicted model, not a curated record.